UAUCUCUCUGUACGGGAAGGAUGAGAAGCUUCGACUAAGGUUCGAUUCGAGCGCAGCGAGAAAGCGUUGCCGCAGGCAACGACCCGAAGGGCGAAGCGCGCAGCGCUGAGUCAUCCUUCCCCCACCACCA
This 130-nucleotide small RNA is filed under the name Salmonella enterica subsp. enterica serovar Muenchen. RNAcentral's name for it is "RtT sRNA". It matches the Rfam family "RtT RNA". Rfam says of the family: This family represents a bacterial cis-regulatory element known as RtT RNA. The exact function of RtT is unknown although it is thought that it may be involved in changing the cellular response in relation to amino acid starvation. Lineage: Bacteria; Pseudomonadati; Pseudomonadota; Gammaproteobacteria; Enterobacterales; Enterobacteriaceae. The record is from RNAcentral. RNAcentral also lists the same sequence under 2 other names.